GUGCUGUAUGAAAGGAGAGAAGGUUCCCAUUCAUUCCCCUUGAUGAGGAUGGAAGAGGCCCUUGGGCCCGACCAAGUACAUAUAGUUAAGGCACUGCCACCUAUUUUGUGGCUUCUAACCACUGUGUUUU
This is a small nuclear RNA of Mastomys coucha (southern multimammate mouse), 130 nucleotides long. NCBI's taxonomy places the organism in Eukaryota, Metazoa, Chordata, Mammalia, Rodentia, Muridae. The record is from RefSeq and is a predicted model, not a curated record.